CAGCCGCGGUAACACCGGCAGCUCUAGUGGUAGCAAUUUUAUGGGCCUAAAGCGUCCGUAGCCGGUUUAAUAAGUCUCUGGUGAAAUCCUGCAGCUUAACUGUGGGAAUUGCUGGAGAUACUAUUAGACUUGAGACCGGGAGAGGUUAGAGGUACUCCCAGGGUAGAGGUGAAAUUCUGUAAUCCUGGGAGGACCGCCUGUUGCGAAGGCGUCUAACUGGAACGGUUCUGACGGUGAGGGACGAAAGUUAGGGGCGCGAACCGGAUUAGAUACCCGGGUAGUCCUAACUGUAAACGAUGCGGACUUGGUGUUGGGGUGGCUUUGAGCUGCUUCAGUGCCGAAGGGAAGCUGUUAAGUCCGCCGCCUGGGAAGUACGGUCGCAAGACUGAAACUUAAGGAAUUGGCGGGGGAGCACCACAACGCGUGGAGCCUGCCGGUUUAAUUGGAUUCAACGCCGGACAUCUCACCAGAGGCGACAGCUGUAUGAUAGCCAGGUUGAUGACUUUGCUUGACUAGCUGAGAAGUGGUGCAUGG
This 534-nucleotide ribosomal RNA is filed under the name uncultured archaeon. RNAcentral's name for it is "bacterial SSU rRNA". It matches the Rfam family "Archaeal small subunit ribosomal RNA", at positions 462 to 997 of the family's 1478-position model. The record is from RNAcentral.